Molecule: ribosomal RNA, 508 nt
Filed under: uncultured bacterium
Lineage: Bacteria
Description: partial 16S ribosomal RNA
Rfam family: Bacterial small subunit ribosomal RNA
Source: RNAcentral
GACGAACGCUGGCGGCGUGCCUAAUACAUGCAAGUCGAACGCUUCUUUCCUCCCGAGUGCUUGCCCUCAAUUGGAAAGAGGAGUGGCGGACGGGUGAGUAACACGUGUGUAACCUACCCAUCAGAGGGGGAUAACACUUGGAAACAGGUGCUAAUACCGCAUAACAGUUUAUGCCGCAUGGCAUAAGAGUGAAAGGCGCUUUCGGGUGUCGCUGAUGGAUGGACCCGCGGUGCAUUAGCUAGUUGGUGAGGUAACGGCUCACCAAGGCCACGAUGCAUAGCCGACCUGAGAGGGUGAUCGGCCACACUGGGACUGAGACACGGCCCAGACUCCUACGGGAGGCAGCAGUAGGGAAUCUUCGGCAAUGGACGAAAGUCUGACCGAGCAACGCCGCGUGAGUGAAGAAGGUUUUCGGAUCGUAAAACUCUGUUGUUAGAGAAGAACAAGGACGUUAGUAACUGAACGUCCCCUGACGGUAUCUAACCAGAAAGCCACGGCUAACUACGUG